RNAcentral lists this long non-coding RNA (1997 nucleotides) under Gossypium barbadense (sea-island cotton). Its description in RNAcentral is "long non-coding RNA (GBAR_LNC017929)". Lineage: Eukaryota; Viridiplantae; Streptophyta; Magnoliopsida; Malvales; Malvaceae. The record is from RNAcentral.
AUUUUUCAUUUUAAAACAAAAGAAGAGGGGCUCUGCUAGGGUUUUCCUUAACCCAGGCCAUCCCCAAGCCGCCGCCUCCUCCACGGCAGAUCUGAGGUCCCUCCGACUUCGACGGCGAUGUGAUGGCACUCCGACGACACCCCCAACGGUAAGUUUCUCUUCUUUCCUCUCUUCUUUGUUAUUUUUAUAACAGAAAAUAAAAAAAGAAAAAGAACAACAAUCCCACAGAUUCUAAAAGAAACGAGAUACCUUCAAAAAUAUUUUUUUUGCUUUUCUGCUUCUUUCCCUUUUGUAUUUUCUUUGAUGUUUUUCAAUACAGAAUUUUUCUCCCCUUGAUAUAAUUUUCGUAUCCCCCUUUUGCUCAUUUCCUUUUCCCUUAUAUUCUACCCUUAUCUUUUUAUUGCUAUCCCCUCAAACACUAUUUGUUUGCUGUUUUAAUCUGUUUUUUCGCAGGUGCAGAGGUCGUGGAAGAGGCAUGCGACGUGGAGGCUUGCACAACUUGCGUGGAAAGUGACAACCGCUGGCACACACGCGCGGUGAGGACCCGAUCAUUGCGGCGCGACUGAAACUGCACUAGGGCUUCUCUAUCCUUCCUCUGCUAUUGAUUUCAAGCUAUUGUUUGGGCUCAUUUAGUAAUGGGCUGUUAAUUAUUUGUUUUUGUUUUAGCCAGGCCAAAAUUGGCCUAUUACAGCUUUGGUUGAAAACCGAAGUGAAUGCAAGAUACCAUAGAACAGAGUACACAUUUGAAGAAUUUAACAAAUUCUAUGAAGAUGUAGGCAUUGGUCAUCACCUCACUGCACCGUACACUCCACAAAAAAUAGGGUCGUGGAGAGAAAAAAAAAGAACCAUAUUGGAGAUGACAAGAUGCAUUUUACAUGAGAAAGGGUUGCUAAAGAAUUUCAAGGCUGAAGCGGCAAAUACAACAAUAUAUCUACUAAAUAGAUUGCCAACAAAAGCAUUAAAGAAGCAAACACCAUUUAAAGUCUGAUUUGGUUAUAAAUCUUUGCUAAUGAGUUUAAAGACAUUUGGUUGUUUGUGUGUUUUUUUAUGUACCUCAUAUGAAAAGAGACAUGCUGGAUAAAAAUUCAGAACCAGAGGUCUUUAUUAGAUAUAGCAACACUUCAAAAACUUAUAGCAUCUACUUGCCACAUACUAAUAAAAUUGUUGUCAACAUGCAUGUCAAGUUUUUGGGAAAAGAGAAGUGGGUUAGAAUGAGUUGUGUCAGCAGUAUUUUGAUGAAGUCAUUGAUGAUCUCUUAGUUAGAGACAUAAGGACACUUUCUGAUAUUUAUCAGAGGUGAUAUGUAGUUGUUUUUGAACCAGUCAGUUUUGUUGAAGAUGUUGAACAUGAAAAAUGGAGGGUUACGAUGCAGAAGGAGUUGAAUAUGAUUGAGAAAAAUGGUACUUAGGAGCUAGUGGAUAGAUCUUCCCACAAUAAACCUAUUGGGGUUAAAUGGGUUUACAAAACCAAAUUCAACUCUGACAGUUUUGUAAACAAGUGUAAGGUGAAGAUGGUCAUGAAAGGAUAUACAUAAAUGUUUGGCAUAGAUUUUUCAAAUACAUUCACACUAGUAGCUUUUUCGGAUAUCACAAGAAUGUUGCUAGCUCUUUUAGCUCAAAAAGGAUGGAGGAUUUAUUAACUAGACAUCAAGUCAGCUUUUUUGAAUGGCAACUUGAAGGAAGAGAUUUUUGUCGAGAAAUCUGACAGUUUUGUUGCGAAAGGGAAAGAAGAUAAAUUAUAUCUCCUUAAAAAGGCCUUGUAUGGUUUAAAACAAGUUCCCAAAGCCUAGUAUAACAAGAUUGACAUUUGCUAACCUUGGCCUUUCAGAAGAGUUUGAGUGAAUUUACACUCUAUGUUAAAAAGGAUGAAAGAGAUUUAUUAAUUGUGUCCUUAUAUGUUGAUAAUUUGCUUGUGUUAGGGAGCAAUGUAGAGUUGGUGAAUAAGUUCAAAGCUGAAGUAAAGCAAGCUUUCAAGAUGAUCGAUCUUGGUGAGAUGAC